AAUCGCCGUAUACCGAACGGUACGUACGGUGGUGUGGAAGGUCGGCUAUCCAAC
RNAcentral lists this unclassified non-coding RNA (54 nucleotides) under Paenibacillus tianmuensis. The record is from RNAcentral. Lineage: Bacteria; Bacillati; Bacillota; Bacilli; Caryophanales; Paenibacillaceae.